Molecule: ribosomal RNA, 271 nt
Filed under: uncultured bacterium
Lineage: Bacteria
Description: partial 16S ribosomal RNA
Rfam family: Bacterial small subunit ribosomal RNA
Source: RNAcentral
GACGGAGGAUGCAAGUGUUAUCCGGAAUCACUGGGCGUAAAGCGUCUGUAGGUGGUUUAAUAAGUCAACUGUUAAAUCUUGAGGCUCAACCUCAAAAUCGCAGUCGAAACUAUUAGACUAGAGUAUAGUAGGGGUAAAGGGAAUUUCCAGUGGAGCGGUGAAAUGCGUAGAUAUUGGAAGGAACACCGAUGGCGAAGGCACUUUACUGGGCUAUUACUAACACUCAGAGACGAAAGCUAGGGUAGCAAAUGGGAUUAGAUACCCGUGUAGU